Lagopus leucura (white-tailed ptarmigan) is the source of this 456-nucleotide long non-coding RNA. RefSeq lists it as uncharacterized. The transcript has 3 exons. NCBI's taxonomy places the organism in Eukaryota, Metazoa, Chordata, Aves, Galliformes, Phasianidae. The record is from RefSeq and is a predicted model, not a curated record.
ACAGAGACUGGACGCAGCUUUCCAGAAGUCACUGGUGCCAUGAACAAGAAGGAAUGCUUGCUGCUGGUGCCUGCCCUUUCUGUGGAGGGAUCAGACGAGUCCUUCUAUGCAAUCUGUGCUUGUCCUCUAAAUUCUCUUCAAGGCAACUGCUUUCCGAGGCUGCAUCCUUUCCCAACACAACUGUGAGCAAUACCCUGAACGGAGCGCUGCAACUUCAGGUGGAGAAAAGCAACAGAAGCAGAUGGGCUGGUAAACAGCAGAGCUGGCUGCCCCACAGAGGGCCGUGCAGAGCAGAGAGUAGCAGAACGGAGCUGCUCGUUGCCACACAUGUUCCAGCAGCGCGGUGCCGCUGAGGCGAAUCGGGGCUCAUCAGCCUGCUCAGGGGUGCGGGCAGCUGCUCCGUGCACCCAGCCGUGCCCCUCCUGCAGGUGCACCCAGGGGACUGGCAUGAGGGAA